RNAcentral lists this unclassified non-coding RNA (371 nucleotides) under Hevea brasiliensis (rubber tree). Lineage: Eukaryota; Viridiplantae; Streptophyta; Magnoliopsida; Malpighiales; Euphorbiaceae. The record is from RNAcentral.
GUCCCAGAUCUUGGGAUUGUGAUGAAGAUGAGGAAAGACGAUGUAAGCUUGCACAUGAUCAUGGUCAGGCAAGGGGAUGGUUUCUUGGAUGGACAUCAAAGCCGAGACAGAGAUCUCGUUGUUAAGGAACAAGAAGGAAGGAACAGCAACUGGAAUUGGGAAGAGGACUUGUGAUUUACCCUGGGUUCAAGAAAGGCAGAUGGAUAGAACCAAUUGUUACCGUGGACUUAUAGACAAGGAGAAAUAUCCAGAAUUGAGGAAACAGAAUGAGUAAGUCCCACUUUUUUAAUCAAUUUUUAGUAUUUAUCAUUGAAAACUUGUAGAGAGUUAUAUAUAUAUAUAUGUUGUUUGUACACAUAAGUUGAUUCCUA